AUUGAACGCUGGCGGCAGGCCUAACACAUGCAAGUCGAGCGGAUGAAGGGAGCUUGCUCCUGGAUUCAGCGGCGGACGGGUGAGUAAUGCCUAGGAAGCUGCCUGGUAGUGGGGGAUAACGUCCGGAAACGGGCGCUAAUACCGCAUACGUCCAGAUGGAGAAAGUGGGGGAUCUUCGGACCUCACGCUAUCAGAUGAGCCUAGGUCGGAUUAGCUAGUUGGUGGGGUAAAGGCCUACCAAGGCGACGAUCCGUAACUGGUCUGAGAGGAUGAUCAGUCACACUGGAACUGAGACACGGUCCAGACUCCUACGGGAGGCAGCAGUGGGGAAUAUUCGACAAUGGGCGAAAGCCUGAUCCAGCCAUGCCGCGUGUGUGAAGAAGGUCUUCGGAUUGUAAAGCACUUUAAGUUGGGAGGAAGGGCAGUAAGUUAAUACCUUGCUGUUUUGACGUUACCAACAGAAUAAGCACCGGCUAACUUCGUG
Molecule: ribosomal RNA, 484 nt
Filed under: uncultured bacterium
Lineage: Bacteria
Description: partial 16S ribosomal RNA
Rfam family: Bacterial small subunit ribosomal RNA
Source: RNAcentral